UAUCAAUUGGAGGGCAAGUCUGGUGCCAGCAGCCGCGGUAAUUCCAGCUCCAAAAGCGUAUAUUAAAGUUGUUGCAGUUAAAAAGCUCGUAGUUGAAAUUGGGGAAACUAUUUAGUAAGAAGUCUAUGAUGGAUUAUUAAAUGUUCCUUCGUCGUCGUGUAUAUUGUCAAGUCACUUAAUUGGGAUUUUUCAAUAACCGACAAGUUUACUUUGAAAAAAUUAGAGUGCUUAAAGCAGGCUUAUGCUUGUAUAUUGUUGCAUGGAAUAAUGAAAUAAGACUUUGGUUUUAUUUUGUUGGUUUUCGAAACUAAAGUAAUGAUUAAAAGAGACUGCCGGGGGCAUAUGUAUGCUGGUGCUAGAGGUGAAAUUCUGAGAC
This 376-nucleotide ribosomal RNA is filed under the name Dugesiidae environmental sample. RNAcentral describes it as "SSU rRNA". It matches the Rfam family "Eukaryotic small subunit ribosomal RNA", at positions 542 to 925 of the family's 1831-position model. Lineage: Eukaryota; Metazoa; Platyhelminthes; Tricladida; Dugesiidae. The record is from RNAcentral.